UGCGCAGGCGGUUUCUUAAGUCAGAUGUGAAAGCCCCGGGCUUAACCUGGGAACUGCGUUUGAAACUGGGAGACUUGAGUGUGGCAGAGGGGGUGGAAUUCCACGUGUAGCAGUGAAAUGCGUAGAUAUGUGGAGGAACACCGAUGGCGAAGGCAGCCCCCUGGGUUAACACUGACGCUCAUGCACGAAAGCGUGGGGAGCAAACAGGAUUAGAUACCCUGGUAGUCCACGCCCUAAACUAUGUCAACUGGUUGUCGGGGGAUUAACUCCCUUGGUAACGAAGCUAACGCGUGAAGUUGACCGCCUGGGGAGUACGGCCGCAAGGUUAAA
RNAcentral lists this ribosomal RNA (330 nucleotides) under uncultured bacterium. RNAcentral describes it as "bacterial SSU rRNA". It matches the Rfam family "Bacterial small subunit ribosomal RNA", at positions 568 to 898 of the family's 1533-position model. The record is from RNAcentral.